This 1528-nucleotide unclassified non-coding RNA is filed under the name Owenia fusiformis. RNAcentral's name for it is "misc RNA OFUS_LOCUS14072". The record is from RNAcentral. Lineage: Eukaryota; Metazoa; Annelida; Polychaeta; Sabellida; Oweniidae.
UCGACUACCCAGCAGUUGAAGGGCAUUCAGAGCGCAGAAAAAUAUCGGACAGUAAAACUGAUUUAAGUGAAGACAAGUUCACCGUUACAACUAUAACUAUAUAUAACUGUAUAAUAAUAUUUAAUCAUAUACCCUAUGGACAAGAACCAAAUAUUCGUAUAAUUUCACCUCUGAUGUAGUCAAGAGUCAAAAGUAGAGGUGGAUUUUGAUAAAUGCAUAUUGCUUACAGGUAUGCAUUUACAUAUGCAUAUACUCCUCUCAUCACAACUUCAUCAAUAAGAAUACAGUGAAGGAGACAUUAUGAUCAUACCGGUAUGUAGUAGUGGAAAUUAACAGAAUAUCUUCAUGUCUAAAGAAAUGGAAGAAAAUGGCAAUAUGCCAUUGAGUGACAAUUCCAAGGAUUUAGUUCCAAUGAAACAAUACAACACAAUAAGCUCCAAGGAAGGAUCGGAUACAGACAACCUAGUCGAGACGAAGCACAGAGUGUCAUUGAAUGUCGCUGUUAAGCUGAGGAUUGCAGCCAUUGCCACAUCAUUCUUGUCCAUCUUUGUUACACUUGCCCUUGGUGUGGCUACCUUAGUUAUUGGUUUCCAAGAAAACAGUUCUGCUUCAUUUGGCUUUGCAUUGACAGCAUUAUUAGAUGUGAUGUCAUCAGCAGUCGUGUUGUGGAGAUAUUAUGGUGGAGCCGAAAAGGCCCUUUACUCUCCAAAGAGAGAAUUUAUAGCUUGCAUUGUCCUAGGAGUCCUCUUUAUAGUCAGUUCAUUUACCAUUACUACAAAGUCUGUUAUUUCAUUGGCCAAUAUUUCUGUUCCAAGUAAGAAUCCAUCAGUAUAUCAGCUGGCCCUGAUAAAUGGGAUUCUCUGCAGUAUUCUUGCAAUAGUUAAGUUCAUCCUGGGGAUUAAACUAGAGAGCAAAGCGCUUACAACUGAUGCAUUUAACUCUCUAGCAGGUGCUUUAUCAGCAUUUGCAAUUUUUGUGACUUCUGUGACGUAUGAAGAAAACAGUCGUGUCUGGUAUCUGGACUCUGUAAUAGGCAUAUUUAUUGCUGUUUUCCUGCUUAUAUAUGGCACUAGGUUAUUAUGGGAACAAGAGAAGAUAAAUAACUACAGUACGUACUGUGGAACUAACUGUGCUUGCUGUAAACAUAAGUAAAACAUUGCCAAAGCUGUCUCAAUUUUUCAAUGAAGGCAUUGUGUACUUCACAGAAGGCUUAAUACCACUACCCCACUGAACAUAGUUUGGAAAAGCUACCCACCAAUGGCCACCAUCCAUCUGUCUGUCCAUUCGUUCAUUCAUCUGUCCAUGCGAUAACUCAAAUACUGGUUGACAGAUUGGGCUCAAAAUUUAAUGAUUGAAGCUUUAUGGGCAUUGCACAUCUGCUGAAGAAUGAAUUGCCAAUAUUGCCACUCAGUUUAAAAUGGCUGCCAUUUGUAGUGAAUAUGUAGCCUUUGAUAACUCAAAUACCAGCUGAUGCAUUUGGUUUAGAUUUUGAUGCCUCAGGAACAUGGAACCUCUGCUUAAGAACUUU